This 253-nucleotide ribosomal RNA is filed under the name uncultured bacterium. Its description in RNAcentral is "partial 16S ribosomal RNA". It matches the Rfam family "Bacterial small subunit ribosomal RNA", at positions 524 to 776 of the family's 1533-position model. The record is from RNAcentral.
UACGGGGGGGGCAAGCGUUGUUCGGAAUUACUGGGCGUAAAGGGCGCGUAGGCGGCCUGCUAAGUCGGACGUGAAAUCCCCCGGCUCAACCGGGGAACUGCGUCCGAUACUGGUGGGCUCGAAUCCGGGAGAGGGAUGUGGAAUUCCAGGUGUAGCGGUGAAAUGCGUAGAUAUCUGGAGGAACACCGGUGGCGAAGGCGGCAUCCUGGAUCGGCAUUGACGCUGAGGCGCGAAAGCCAGGGGAGCAAACGGG